GACUCGCUCCGGCUCCCCUCGCCGUCCUGGACACGGCGGAGUGCGGAGCCGCCCGUAAGAUGCUCUGACCUUUGACCCCUGCCGUUCAGCUCUAGGGCCCGUGCAGGCCACACCAUGAACACCUCCCCAGGCACGGUGGGCAGUGACCCGGUCAUCCUGGCCACUGCAGGCUACGACCACACCGUGCGCUUCUGGCAGGCCCACAGCGGCAUCUGCACCCGGACGGUGCAGCACCAGGACUCCCAGGUGAAUGCCUUGGAGGUCACACCGGACCGCAGCAUGAUUGCUGCUGCAGGUUACCAGCACAUCCGCAUGUAUGAUCUCAACUCCAAUAACCCUAACCCCAUCAUCAGCUACGACGGCGUCAACAAGAACAUCGCGUCUGUGGGCUUCCACGAAGACGGCCGCUGGAUGUACACGGGCGGCGAGGACUGCACAGCCAGGAUCUGGGACCUCAGGUCCCGGAACCUGCAGUGCCAGCGGAUCUUCCAGGUGAACGCACCCAUUAACUGCGUGUGCCUGCACCCCAACCAGGCAGAGCUCAUCGUGGGUGACCAGAGCGGGGCUAUCCACAUCUGGGACUUGAAAACAGACCACAACGAGCAGCUGAUCCCUGAGCCCGAGGUCUCCAUCACGUCCGCCCACAUCGAUCCCGACGCCAGCUACAUGGCAGCUGUCAAUAGCACCGUGAGUCCUGGUGGCAGGUGCUGGGUGCGGGCAGCUUGGCACUCAGCCCUCAGCCUCUGCAGGUGGGCUUAUUCCUGGAUGUCCCUUAGCGGCCCCCUCCUGCUUUCCCCAUCCCGGGCACUAACACCCACCUUGCCAGCAAAGCCAGAAGCCUUAGUGUCGCUCCCGAUGGCUUAGUCCUGUCUGCAGGUCGGUCACUCCGCUUUCUGGAGUCUCUCCCAAGUCGAUCCACUUCCCUCUUUUCACUCUGUUGCCUCCUGGUCCCAGUCACCCUUGUUUCUGGUGACGGCUGACACACUCUCUGAGGCUUCCUUUCCCCCUCCCUGACCUCCCCUGGCCCCUGACACGUUCUCUCUUGGAUGCUUCUAGUGGUGCCUGGUCAGUAUCAGCCAGGUGGCGUCAUUCCCCUGAGGAGACCCGGGGCUGCUGGCCUCGCCCGUAGGCUGCUGUGGCGUGGCCCCUGCUCUUCUCUCCAGCCUCAUUUUUUUUCAUUAACUUCAUUUAAUCCCAGUGCAUCACUUGUACCUCUUGCCCCCGGAUUUCCCUUCUGCUGGCCUUUGUCAUGCUGUCUCUCUAGCUGGUGCCCUUCUCCUGUCUACUUCCGUUGGCCAUCGGCAUCCUCCAGGAAGGAGAAUUUGAGUCCUUGGCCAGGCGUGGCCUCCUGUUCUUGGCUUGCCAGGGAAACUGCUAUGUCUGGAAUCUGACGGGGGGCAUUGGUGACGAGGUGACCCAGCUCAUCCCCAAGACUAAGAUCCCUGCCCACACGCGCUACGCCCUGCAGUGUCGCUUCAGCCCCGACUCCACGCUCCUCGCCACCUGCUCGGCUGAUCAGACGUGCAAGAUCUGGAGGACGUCCAACUUCUCCCUGAUGACGGAGCUGAGCAUCAAGAGCGGCAACCCCGGGGAGUCCUCCCGCGGCUGGAUGUGGGGCUGCGCCUUCUCGGGGGACUCCCAGUACAUCGUCACUGCUUCCUCGGACAACCUGGCCCGGCUCUGGUGUGUGGAGACUGGAGAGAUCAAGAGAGAGUAUGGCGGCCACCAGAAGGCUGUUGUCUGCCUGGCCUUCAAUGACAGUGUGCUGGGCUAGCCUGUGACCCCUCGGGACUGCCUGGUGCAGGUGGUGGCAGCUGGAGGGACCCAUGCAGCACCCAGGUCAGAGCAGACCCUCCCCUGCCGGCCUGCGCCAGCUGGACCUGAUGGCCCCCUGUGGCGCCUUGACCUGCUGGGCCAGGCUGCCCUGGGACUCUCAGCCCCCAGUUGCUUAUCCAGAUGUGACAGAGCUCGACCCAAGCCAGGCUGCACACUCCUGGACUGGGCUAGCCUGCACUGCCUGGGAAAGUCGGCCGAGGGCCCAAAGCUGCUGAGGGGUCUGAGGCUGGUGCCCACCCCCAAGCUAGUGUGUUCUCUGCCCCUCCCUGCCCGCGUUUCAGGGCCUCGGUCCAUAGAGAACACCACCACCAUGGCCAGGUGGAAGGGUUUAUUAGUCCCUGCCAGCAGCUGUCCUCCCUGGUGCAGGUGGCCUGGCCAGCCCACUGGAUUGGGGACGGGCCAGGCUGGGCCAGGUCGGGGGCUCAGUCUGGGAGGUAAUAAAAGCAGACCGACACGCAGAUGUUGCUCGGGAAGCAGAUGUCGAUGCAGAGAUAAAUCAGCCGCUGUCUCCGGG
Homo sapiens (human) is the source of this 2350-nucleotide RNA transcript. It is a transcript of the gene named MTOR associated protein MLST8, with no coding region annotated. The record is from RefSeq and is marked validated. The transcript is spliced from 9 exons. NCBI's taxonomy places the organism in Eukaryota, Metazoa, Chordata, Mammalia, Primates, Hominidae.